AAGCCAUAUGAUUUUAUUUUCAAAAAAUUUUUUUUUAUCAAAAUAUUGAUCACCAGUACGAACUUAGAAUGAACACCAAGAUAUCACUACAAUCUGGUUUAUCAAAUUUUAAAACAUUUUAAAUUUUACAAUAAAUUUUAAAGUUUUAAGUCAGAUUUAAUAUUUGGCAGCGCUGCCUGAUCGGGAACAAAGAAACGUUUUUUCUACGGACCAUUUUGUUUUGCACUUUUCAGAACAGAAGAACGAAACGCGGGGACAAAAACUGAACGUUCAUCCACGAAAAUCUCAAUAAUACGAGAUAAUACUCUCUUGAACAGCCAUAGGACGCUGAAAUGUUUGCUUCAAAAGGCACUGAAAUCCGUGCCAUUAGAUCCUGCAUCGCCCAAAUAUUGGCUGAACCUCUGGAUCCCGGGGAAAACAACGCACUUUUCGAGGCAGCGGAAGUGGGAAUUGACUGCAAAGAGACAUAGUCCUUGCUUAGUGGAUUUCGGUAUGUGCAAAGUGAAGUCAGUUCACCGACAAUUUGCUCAUAAUUGACGACAAAUCCUUCAAAGUUUUAAUGCGAAGGUGAGAAAUGUACCAAAUUGAAAAAAGACUUAUCGAAACUUUUCGGGUUCCGAAGAAUCGGGUAGCGAUAAAAAAAACUGGUGCCAAAUCCUUGGAACUCACCACAAGAUCCGGAAGUGCGUCGUGGUGAUUGCAUGAACGACCUGAAUCAGCUGAAAGAAGAGGCCAACAUGGUUCUGCAAACUUAUGGCCUGGCCCGCCGAUCAAUUUCUAAUUUAACUUGAGUGUUUAAGUGUAAAAACGAAAUUUUUUUUUUUUUUUUAAGAAGUAUUUAUGAAAGUGUGGAUGAUGAUAAAUAACUUAGAAAAAAUUAUUAUGUAUUUGGAAAUUGAAUACA
Uranotaenia lowii is the source of this 904-nucleotide long non-coding RNA. RefSeq lists it as uncharacterized. The transcript has 3 exons. NCBI's taxonomy places the organism in Eukaryota, Metazoa, Arthropoda, Insecta, Diptera, Culicidae. The record is from RefSeq and is a predicted model, not a curated record.